AACGAACGCUGGCGGCAGGCUUAACACAUGCAAGUCGAGCGCAUCCUUCGGGGUGAGCGGCGGACGGGUGAGUAACGCGUGGGAACGUGCCCUCUUCUACGGAAUAGCCUCGGGAAACUGAGAGUAAUGCCGUAUACGCCCGCAAGGGGAAAGAUUUAUCGGAGGAGGAUCGGCCCGCGUUGGAUUAGGUAGUUGGUGGGGUAACGGCCUACCAAGCCGACGAUCCAUAGCUGGUUUGAGAGGAUGAUCAGCCACACUGGGACUGAGACACGGCCCAGACUCCUACGGGAGGCAGCAGUGGGGAAUCUAGGACAAUGGGGGCAACCCUGAUCCAGCCAUGCCGCGUGAUCGAUGAAGGCCUUAGGGUUGUAAAGAUCUUUCAGCUGGGAAGAUAAUGACGGUACCAGCAGAAGAAGCCCCGGCUAACUCCGUG
This 433-nucleotide ribosomal RNA is filed under the name uncultured bacterium. RNAcentral's name for it is "partial 16S ribosomal RNA". It matches the Rfam family "Bacterial small subunit ribosomal RNA", at positions 29 to 507 of the family's 1533-position model. The record is from RNAcentral.